UACAGAGGGUGCGAGCGUUAAUCGGAAUUACUGGGCGUAAAGCGCGCGUAGGCGGCUUUGCAAGUCGGGUGUGAAAUCCCCAGGCUUAACCUGGGAACUGCAUUCGAGACUGCAUUGCUAGAGUAUGGGAGAGGGAAGUGGAAUUUCAGGUGUAGCGGUGAAAUGCGUAGAGAUCGGGAGGAAGGCCGGUGGCGAAGGCGGCGCUCUGGAACAUUUCUGACGCUGAGGCUCGAAAGCGUGGGGAGCAAACAGG
This 253-nucleotide ribosomal RNA is filed under the name uncultured bacterium. RNAcentral's name for it is "partial 16S ribosomal RNA". It matches the Rfam family "Bacterial small subunit ribosomal RNA", at positions 524 to 776 of the family's 1533-position model. The record is from RNAcentral.